This 449-nucleotide ribosomal RNA is filed under the name uncultured bacterium. RNAcentral describes it as "bacterial SSU rRNA". It matches the Rfam family "Bacterial small subunit ribosomal RNA", at positions 29 to 524 of the family's 1533-position model. The record is from RNAcentral.
AACGAACGCUGGCGGCAUGCCUAACACAUGCAAGUCGAACGAGACCUUCGGGUCUAGUGGCGCACGGGUGCGUAACGCGUGGGAAUCUGCCCUUGGGUUCGGAAUAACAGCGAGAAAUUGCUGCUAAUACCGGAUGAUGACGUAAGUCCAAAGAUUUAUCGCCCAAGGAUGAGCCCGCGUAGGAUUAGCUAGUUGGUGAGGUAAAGGCUCACCAAGGCGACGAUCCUUAGCUGGUCUGAGAGGAUGAUCAGCCACACUGGGACUGAGACACGGCCCAGACUCCUACGGGAGGCAGCAGUGGGGAAUAUUGGACAAUGGGCGAAAGCCUGAUCCAGCAAUGCCGCGUGAGUGAUGAAGGCCUUAGGGUUGUAAAGCUCUUUUACCCGGGAUGAUAAUGACAGUACCGGAGAAUAAGCUCCGGCUAACUCCGUGCCAGCAGCCGCGGUAAU